CUAUGGAUCAGUGAAGAGAUAUAAGAGGGGCUAGAAUUGUUCAGUGCUUUAAAUGUAUGGGUUAGCACUUUGAAUUGACUCCUAUAGGAUACAGGGAGCCAAUGUAAGGACUGGCAGAGGGGUGAUGUGUGCGCGGACCGACUAGAGAGGAAAAUCAGUCUGGCGGCAGCGUUCUAUCUAGCAUAUAAAUGAUCCUGAAAUUGGC
Non-coding RNA from Pelobates cultripes (western spadefoot toad), 205 nucleotides. The record is from the annotation of a GenBank genome assembly. Lineage: Eukaryota; Metazoa; Chordata; Amphibia; Anura; Pelobatidae.